This 379-nucleotide unclassified non-coding RNA is filed under the name fungal sp. RNAcentral's name for it is "partial internal transcribed spacer region". The stretch from base 1 to 46 matches the Rfam family "Eukaryotic small subunit ribosomal RNA", at positions 1786 to 1831 of the family's 1831-position model. The record is from RNAcentral. Lineage: Eukaryota; Fungi.
AAGUCGUAACAAGGUUUCCGUAGGUGAACCUGCGGAAGGAUCAUUAACACGUAUCCAACGUUAAACCCCCCGUGAACCUUCAGUGGAGGGGGGCUCGCGCCCAGUGACCCGGUCGCCGGGUCGGCCUCUAGCGAUCGUGACUGCGCCAUUCGUACAGAGCUGGUGACACUUUCAGACACCAACAAGCAGAGGAAUGCCAGGCCACUUGCCUCAAGCUCAAGCACAGUCUACGCAGAAGUCCCUGAAUCAAAACUGUUCGGCAAUGAUUUACCAGGGAUUGCUACCUUUUCUAACGUCACCUUUGCAUGAAAACGGGCCUGCGCUUAAUUGUGCGGCCACCAAACUCGAACAACUGUUAACAAUGGAUAUCUUGGUUCUC